UUUUUUUUUUUUCUUUUAGACAAGGUCUACCUAAGUUAUCCAGGCUGGCCUUGAACUUUUGAUCUCCUGCCUCAGCUCCCAAUUAUCUGGGAUGACAGGAUUGCACCUGAGAUACUCUUCCUGCUCAGUUUAGCCAAAGUUGUUUGUGAGCACCCCCAUACCCCACAGCGCCACUUCCUGUCUCACUUCCCUUAUUUUCCUUUAAUUACCCACCUUGGCCUGUCUGGGUUGAUCUCCUCAGCUGCUGGUGUCAGGCUGGUAAUGUCCUUGGAAACUUGCCAGCAUGUAGACAGGGUUUGGCAGGAACCCCACACCACCAGCCUCACUUAGCCCUGGGCUCCUCCAGGAGAGGUGUACAGGAUCCAUGGGAUCACUCGGUCUUCCUAGGAUGGCUUAGUUCAAAGUGAAGCCAGGUGUGUUUUAUAGUAACUGGCUUGAAAACAAAAGUGCCUUUUGCUGCUUUAGGGUGUGUAGUGGAAGCUAGUUUCCUUAUCUUUCCUGGCACUCUUCUCCAGUCCUGCCAUGUCUACACCUCUCAUGUGUCCCCUGCCCAUCCCCUUGUCCCCCGUGCCCAUUGUAUGCAGUGGGACACUGCAUUGCUGGGCAGCCAUGAAGCCAGAGCAUAUAGGAGUGUCCAGGCUGAGUUACACAAAGCACUUUAAGUCAAGCUGGAAUGGUGAGCUCUGCCAAGGGUGAGAGAUUUACUGGGAUUCAUUCAGGACAAAGGAGAAUUAUCCAGGAUCCAGAGUGAUAAGGUGACAGAUAACUAUCAGUCUACCAUGGGAGUGUACCACCUAUGCCUCCUGCCUGCUUGAAGACUGUGGGGAGUGUGCUGGCUGAGGGAGGCCCUGGGCUCAGGGUCCAAGCCAUUACUCUAUCCAAACAAGCAGGCGGCACUGGCUUGUGCUGAGUUGUGCUGUGCCCAUAGCAGGACUCCCCUGCCACUGAGAAGAAAGUAUUGUCAGUUCACCGUCAGGUAUUUACUUACUCUGUAAAAUGUGUGUAGAUGUUUUGUACAGAGCCCCAUAUGAAAUAAAUGCCCUUAUGUGAUUCCUAAUC
RNAcentral lists this long non-coding RNA (1059 nucleotides) under Rattus norvegicus (Norway rat). Its description in RNAcentral is "long non-coding RNA NONRATT018738". The record is from RNAcentral. Lineage: Eukaryota; Metazoa; Chordata; Mammalia; Rodentia; Muridae.